UACGGAUGCUGGCCUUCUCAUGGGGCUCUCCGAGGACAGACACCAGGUCACUCAUCACUGCCGUGUCCCCAGGGACCUCUGCCAGCAAGCACCAUGGAAGCAGCUCGAGCCAUUUGCAGCAUGGGUUCCUCCUGGGAGGGACCCACUGACCCGGGUCCCCAGCCCGUCCCUCCCAGUGUUGCCUCACAAGGUCCUCUCUGUGUCCUCAGCCCCACGGGGUGACCUGGCUGAGACGUGGUCAUGAAUCACUGGCCAGAAUCUGGUUGCAAUCAUCUCUUGGCUGGCCGUGGCCACCGAAUCAGGGAACCUAGGUGUCCUGCAAGACAGUGCCCAGGACUGGGGAGGCACCUGCGCCAGGGACCUGCUGGGUGGCCUUGGCAGGCCGCUGGCCUCCAGGUGGCACAGUCGGCCACCCACGGGGAUGGAGGAGCUGGUGGAGAUGGGGUCUUCGGCUGGGAUCCUUGGGAUGUGACUGAUUCUCAAGGGGACGGCUGGGGAGGGGGAGGUCCAGCGCGGCUGACCGUCCCCGUCUGAAGGCCAAGGGCCGGGUCUUGUGGGCAGGGCUGGGAGGAGCGGUGGGGGUGCCAGGUCAGCAGGUCCCACGGGGAGGCAGGCCUGGUGUCCCGAGGACUCCACCAAGAGGCCGGCCUGCAGAGGGAGGGGACGGCAGACCCGGCCUAGGACCCGAGGGCCUGAGGUUCACGAGUGUCCCCGGCUGGAGCUGCUUCCAGGGCACAGCCCACCAGGCCGGGUCCUCCCCAUGGGGAAGGGGCCAUGGGCUCCCAGGUCGCGGGAACCUGUGUCAGCGGUGCUCUCAGCCCGGCAGCCAUGUCACCCCUCUGGCUCUCUCAGCCCCCACCCACCUCGUGCUGUCCUCCACGGUCAGAUGCCGCUGGACGGGCCGCAGCCUCCAGGUCCCAGCCUCCUCUCCACCAGCUGCCAGCUGACCUUGCGACACGCAGGCUGGGAUCGUGACCCUGCGCUGCCCUCUGACCUCCCUGACUCCCACCCCUUGGGAACAGACUGACCCCCUCGCGACCUGGAGGACGCCUCAGAGACUGCCCAGCAGUGGGGUGCAGGGCCUGAGGGCCCACAGGCCCGGGGCCCAGCCCCUGGUCCACCCUGACAGGCCAGCUGACCUGGACGGCCACGUCUUCUGUCCCAGCCUCAGUUUCCCCACUUGUAACACAGGAAACCUCAGUUGACCCGCUGACGUGUGGACAGUGAGGAGUGCACAGGGGACCUGCCCACGGGCCAGGCACACACAGGUGCCCAACAGGGUUGGCCGUGGUCACAUUAUUAAAAUCACUUUUAAAAGGUC
This is a long non-coding RNA of Marmota monax (woodchuck), 1321 nucleotides long. RefSeq lists it as uncharacterized. The transcript has 2 exons. NCBI's taxonomy places the organism in Eukaryota, Metazoa, Chordata, Mammalia, Rodentia, Sciuridae. The record is from RefSeq and is a predicted model, not a curated record.